RNAcentral lists this ribosomal RNA (248 nucleotides) under Fontibacillus phaseoli. Lineage: Bacteria; Bacillati; Bacillota; Bacilli; Caryophanales; Paenibacillaceae. The record is from RNAcentral.
CUAACACGCAAAUUCACGUUUCGUAUCCAGUUUUCAGGUGAUUAAAACAUCUGAACUAAGCUGCAUGCCUUUUAUAAGGUUUGAUAUUUUCUCGCAGCGAUUUCGAGAAGCGAAAGCUUCGAAAAAUCAUGUUUGGUGGCGAUGGCGGAGGGGUUCCACGCGUACCCAUCCCGAACACGACCGUUAAGCCCUCCAGCGCCGAUGGUACUUGGACCGAAGGGUCCUGGGAGAGUAGGACGCCGCCAAGC